RNAcentral lists this ribosomal RNA (334 nucleotides) under Acanthamoeba sp. MN-2012. RNAcentral's name for it is "SSU rRNA". It matches the Rfam family "Eukaryotic small subunit ribosomal RNA", at positions 824 to 1116 of the family's 1831-position model. Lineage: Eukaryota; Discosea; Longamoebia; Acanthamoebidae. The record is from RNAcentral.
AGGACCCUGUCCUCCUAUUUUCAGUUGGUUUUGGCAGCGCGAGGACUAGGGUAAUGAUUAAUAGGGAUAGUUGGGGGCAUUAAUAUUUAAUUGUCAGAGGUGAAAUUCUUGGAUUUAUGAAAGAUUAACUUCUGCGAAAGCAUCUGCCAAGGAUGUUUUCAUUAAUCAAGAACGAAAGUUAGGGGAUCGAAGACGAUCAGAUACCGUCGUAGUCUUAACCAUAAACGAUGCCGACCACCGAUUAGGAGACGUUGAAUACAAAACACCACCAUCGGUGCGGUCGUCCUUGGCGUCGGUCUUUCGGGGCCGGCGCGGGGACGGCUUAGCCCGGUGG